This is a long non-coding RNA of Sitodiplosis mosellana (orange wheat blossom midge), 495 nucleotides long. RefSeq lists it as uncharacterized. The record is from RefSeq and is a predicted model, not a curated record. NCBI's taxonomy places the organism in Eukaryota, Metazoa, Arthropoda, Insecta, Diptera, Cecidomyiidae. The transcript is spliced from 2 exons.
GAUUGGCUCUUGGGAAAAAAAAGUGUUUCUAUAUAUAUAUACGGCGAUAAGAAAUGUCAUAGCCUCAAUUUGAAAUGGAAUAACAUUAUAAAUGGAAUAUAUUUCGUGAUCUCAUACAGUUAUUAACUAAUCACAGUAGAAGUAAUACGAUCAAAAUGAGAGUGAAAUUAUUUACGUUUCUGUUCUUUGUAGCUAGUGUUUUAGCUAUUUGCUUUGCAUCAGGUGGCGUCGACGAUCGGUGUAAUGCCAAAGUGGAGACGGGCAGUUGUAAGUUGGAAGAAUCAAAAUAUAUUUUCAAUAAACUCCUGCAAAGAUGUCAACGCAAAGUUUUGGGUGACUGCGCUGGUGAUGAAGAUGCAUUCGAUGAUGAGGCUGCGUGUGAAAGAGCUUGUUUGAAAGACCUUGCUUGAAAACAUGAUUGUCAAAUGUUGCAAUAUUUCUAAUGCUGUGUAAUUUUGUUAAAUAAUAAAAAUGAGCCUAAUUUUGGAGAAACUG